UUGAUCCUGGCUCAGGAUGAACGCUGGCGGCGUGCUUAACACAUGCAAGUCGAACGAACCUUCGGGUUAGUGGCGGACGGGUGAGUAACGCGUGGGAAUCUGCCCUCAGGAGGGGGAUAACGGCCGGAAACGGCCGCUAAUACCCCAUAUGCCGAGAGGUGAAAUGAAUUUCGCCUGAGGAUGAGCCCGCGUCUGAUUAGCUAGUUGGUGUGGUAAUGGCGCACCAAGGCGACGAUCAGUAGCUGGUCUGAGAGGAUGAUCAGCCACACUGGGACUGAGACACGGCCCAGACUCCUACGGGAGGCAGCAGUGGGGAAUUUUCCGCAAUGGGCGAAAGCCUGACGGAGCAACGCCGCGUGAGGGAUGAAGGCCUCUGGGCUGUAAACCUCUUUUCUCAAGGAAGAAGACAUGACGGUACUUGAGGAAUAAGCCACGGCUAAUUCCGUGCCAGCAGCCGCGGUAAUACGGGAGUGGCAAGCGUUAUCCGGAAUUAUUGGGCGUAAAGCGUCCGCAGGCGGCCUUGUAAGUCUGUCGUUAAAGCGUGGAGCUUAACUCCAUUUCAGCGAUGGAAACUACAAGGCUUGAGUGUGGUAGGGGCAGAGGGAAUUCCCGGUGUAGCGGUGAAAUGCGUAGAUAUCGGGAAGAACACCAGUGGCGAAGGCGCUCUGCUGGGCCAUAACUGACGCUCAUGGACGAAAGCCAGGGGAGCGAAAGGGAUUAGAUACCCCUGUAGUCCUGGCCGUAAACGAUGAACACUAGGUGUCGGGGGAAUCGACCCCCUCGGUGUCGUAGCUAACGCGUUAAGUGUUCCGCCUGGGGAGUACGCACGCAAGUGUGAAACUCAAAGGAAUUGACGGGGGCCCGCACAAGCGGUGGAGUAUGUGGUUUAAUUCGAUGCAACGCGAAGAACCUUACCAGGGUUUGACAUCCUGCGAAUCCCUUGGAAACGAGGGAGUGCCUUCGGGAGCGCAGAGACAGGUGGUGCAUGGCUGUCGUCAGCUCGUGUCGUGAGAUGUUGGGUUAAGUCCCGCAACGAGCGCAACCCACGUCUUUAGUUGCCAGCAUUCAGUUGGGCACUCUAGAGAGACCGCCGGUGAUAAACCGGAGGAAGGUGUGGAUGACGUCAAGUCAUCAUGCCCCUUACAUCCUGGGCUACACACGUACUACAAUGCUACGGACAAAGGGUUGCAAGCUCGCGAGAGUUAGCUAAUCCCAUAAACCGUGGCUCAGUUCAGAUCGUAGGCUGCAACUCGCCUACGUGAAGGAGGAAUCGCUAGUAAUCGCAGGUCAGCAUACUGCGGUGAAUACGUUCCCGGGCCUUGUACACACCGCCCGUCACACCAUGGAAGUUGGCCAUGCCCGAAGUCGUUACUCCAACCCUUGUGGAGGAGGACGCCGAAGGUGGGGCUGAUGACUGGGGUGAAGUCGUAACAAGGUAGCCGUACCGGAAGGUGCGGCUGGAUCACCUCCU
Molecule: ribosomal RNA, 1471 nt
Filed under: Synechococcus sp. CCAP 1479/10
Lineage: Bacteria; Bacillati; Cyanobacteriota; Cyanophyceae; Synechococcales; Synechococcaceae
Description: 16S ribosomal RNA
Rfam family: Bacterial small subunit ribosomal RNA
Source: RNAcentral